GAAAGACAGCUAGAACGCCUUAGAUCUGAUCUACUUGAGAAUGGGUAUCUGCCGAAGUGGAGAAGAUUUCCUUAGGCCGAGUAGAACCAAUGAUUUCACACUCGUAACCAUCGAAAAGGGAAGCCGAAGAGCUCCAAUCCCUUGAUUUCGUAGCCAUUGCCGGGGAAGACAGUAGGUCGGGAGGAAGGUAACCAGAGGUUGUGGUAAAUCAGUGUGGGAAAGCCCCUCGUUUGAGUAUGCGCCAUCCCCUUCACUUCCAGAAAGCCGUUGAGCAUAUGUGUCGCCUGAGACUUUGGUAGAACAUCCGGCUGCAGAAGGCAUCUGGUUUGAAGACUUGUUCCGAAACCUGUAAUCAUCAGAAUAUGCAAUUACCCGAUCAGAACAAAACUGGAUCUGGAAGGAAUGUCAUUAAGUGAAGGAGUCCUCGUAAGCGCAUAGGCAAAAGGGCUUGGUGCUCGUUGUUCCCCAUUUACACAUGGGCGAGACGAAGAAACCUCCAUAUAGUUGAGCAGCGAGAACUGCACUUGCCACUUGCAUUAGUAGAGGCUAUUAAAAAUACUGUCCACACUCUUGUCUGCGAAGCGAAGCAAGGUAGUUAUUCCAGUUUCUCCUCUAAUAAUGGCAUCGGCGGAAAGUUUCCUACGGCGAGCUCGAGCAGAAGGCGCAGCCGAAGGCCAAUAAAGCCCUACUUCUAUACAAUUCCGGCAAGGUAAUCCAAUUGGAAAACCCUGACUGAACGAUGUUAUGUCGACUUAAUCCGUGGUUGAAUAUGUUAUGUCGGCUUAGCCAAAAGUUGAAGAUUUCGAUGGUCUAGCCCGAAAUGGGAGUGAGAAGUCUCUAAAAAGGCGAGCUGGGCUCAGGGAGCCGCUCUAGGGAAGAAGGAUCCCGGGAUUAAACCUGUUGUGAUGAAUUAGUCCUCCUACUCAAAGUGGUCAUCAACCACUUUCCGUCUUGGAUCUGAGUCAACGGCAUUAGCAUUUUUUUUUUUUUUUUUUUUU
This 998-nucleotide unclassified non-coding RNA is filed under the name Hevea brasiliensis (rubber tree). The record is from RNAcentral. Lineage: Eukaryota; Viridiplantae; Streptophyta; Magnoliopsida; Malpighiales; Euphorbiaceae.